RNAcentral lists this ribosomal RNA (489 nucleotides) under uncultured bacterium. Its description in RNAcentral is "partial 16S ribosomal RNA". It matches the Rfam family "Bacterial small subunit ribosomal RNA", at positions 28 to 506 of the family's 1533-position model. The record is from RNAcentral.
GAUGAGCGCUAGCUACAGGCUUAACACAUGCAAGUCGAGGGGCAGCAUGGUCUUAGCUUGCUAAGGCCGAUGGCGACCGGCGCACGGGUGAGUAACACGUAUCCAACCUGCCGUCUACUCUUGGACAGCCUUCUGAAAGGAAGAUUAAUACAAGAUGGCAUCAUGAGUCCGCAUGUUCACAUGAUUAAGGGUAUUCCGGUAGACGAUGGGGAUGCGUUCCAUUAGAUAGUAGGCGGGGUAACGGCCCACCUAGUCUUCGAUGGAUAGGGGUUCUGAGAGGAAGGUCCCGCACAUUGGAACUGAGACACGGUCCAAACUCCUACGGGAGGCAGCAGUGAGGAAUAUUGGUCAAUGGGCGCAGGCCUGAACCAGCCAAGUAGCGUGAAGGAUGACUGCCCUAUGGGUUGUAAACUUCUUUUAUAAAGGAAUAAAGUCGGGUAUGUAUACCCGUUUGCAUGUACUUUAUGAAUAAGGAUCGGCUAACUCCGU